UGCAAAACCGUAGAGGUGGAGCGAACCCCUAAAAGACCGUCCCAGUUCAGAUCGCAGUCUGCAACUCGACUGCGUGAAGUCGGAAUCGCUAGUAAUCGCGGAUCAGCAUGCCGCGGUGAAUACGUUCCCGGGCCUUGUACACACCGCCCGUCACACCAUGAGAGUCGGGAACACCCGAAGCCCGUAGCCUAACUUGCAAGAGGGGGCGCGGUCGAAGGUGGGUUCGAUAAUUGGGGUGAAGUCGUAACAAGGUAUC
Molecule: ribosomal RNA, 256 nt
Filed under: uncultured bacterium
Lineage: Bacteria
Description: partial 16S ribosomal RNA
Rfam family: Bacterial small subunit ribosomal RNA
Source: RNAcentral